Molecule: ribosomal RNA, 484 nt
Filed under: uncultured bacterium
Lineage: Bacteria
Description: partial 16S ribosomal RNA
Rfam family: Bacterial small subunit ribosomal RNA
Source: RNAcentral
GACGAACGCUGGCGGCGUGCUUAACACAUGCAAGUCGAACGAUGAUGCUGGAGCUUGCUCCAGUUGAUUAGUGGCGAACGGGUGAGUAACACGUGAGCAAUCUGCCCUUGACUCUGGGAUAACUGCGGGAGACUGUAGCUAAUACCGGAUACUUUCACCGGAAGGCAUCUUCUGGUGCUGCAAGAAUUUCGGUCAGGGAUGAGCUCGCGGCCUAUCAGCUUGUUGGUGAGGUAACGGCUCACCAAGGCGACGACGGGUAGCCGGCCUGAGAGGGUGACCGGCCACACUGGGACUGAGACACGGCCCAGACUCCUACGGGAGGCAGCAGUGGGGAAUAUUGCACAAUGGGCGCAAGCCUGAUGCAGCAACGCCGCGUGAGGGAUGAAGGCCUUCGGGUUGUAAACCUCUUUUAGCAGGGAAGAAGCGAAAGUGACGGUACCUGCAGAAAAAGCACCGGCUAACUACGUGCCAGCAGCCGCCGCGG